GAGGGGUGUGAAUUGAUGAUGAGUUUUUAUGAUUUUUGAGGUGUACUUCAUAAAAAUGGGGUGUAAAUAAGAUUCGUCCAAUUUUUUCAUCAUCCCAAUUUGUUUUGACUUUUGAUGAUGCCUAUAAAAAUGGGCAAAUCCUCCAUAUUCCCAAUCCCAAACGGAAACCAGAAUCGUCUCUUCUUGGAAGCAUAAGCAGCCGUUCCCUCGUAUCUUUAGCUCCCAAGUUGCUUACAAAACCCAGUAAAGGCAGUUUGGUCAGGUCUGCAGUCGCUUUUAGAAUCAGAGUUAUGUCAGCUUAGAUGAGUUUGUCAAUCGUCCUCUCAAUUGGCUGCUGAAAAUGAGGUUCAGGAAGUUAAACUGCUUACUGCAAUCACUGAUGAUCAGGAAUGUGUCAUCAUCGAUAUGAAUUAACCCAUUGAUUCUAAGGCAUUUGCUUCGGUACUUAGAGCAUCGAUUGCUCACUGUAGGCAGCAGGAAGGAUUCUGGUACCACCAUGCAGAGCCAAAAUACUUGGUGCUAGUUUGUCGGAUUCCUGAAGGCAUUAGUACUCUUCCUGCGAAUGCCUCAUACCAAGUGAGCAUUAAGCAUUGGUGCAUUUGUUAUGAAUGAUAAAAGAGAGGUAUGACUACUAAACAAAAAGUUCUCAUCAGUUAAUAUUGUACUGCUCAAGCCCUUAAGACCUCAAGGAAGGCAGUGACUGGGAUUCUUGUAAUUGUUUUGCUGCCAACACCAAAACUUUCUCAUUACCAGGCAAAUACAAGUGGGUAUGAUUAAGACGACAAAUGGCUCUCAGUGUAAAGUUUCAAACAUGCCAUUCUAAUGUUUCCUUCUAGUCUGCCUUCUGUUAUGUCAUCAUCAUUCUUGGUUCCUCUUCCAGCAUCUUUUGCUUCACUUUCUUGCCGUAAACCUUACCUUCUCAUUUUACUAGACUAAAUUUAUCUAGGGUUAGAUAGAUGUCAUUUUGUGUUCGUUUAUUCCAUUUUUCCUUCCCUGAAACCAUUUGUAUUGGGCCAUUUGCUCCAUUUUCGGGGUAGAUCUUUCAAAUGACAUAUGACUUUGCACAAGAGAAGGCAUCCUAUUUCUUUAAUCCAUUGAAGCUUUUUGUAUAAAACCAAAACUCAGUUUUUUUGGACAGGCUAUUCUUUUAAUCAUUUCACGAACUUCAAAUCCCCCCUCCCACCUCCCUCUCUCAUUCUGAAUGUGCGUUCUCCACUAUUCCUUUCCUUGAUGGUACUUAUAGGCUUAUAGCCUUUUAUCUGAAAGAAUCUAAUGUUUUCUUUUAAACAAGUGAUAUCGAGUACUGUGUCAUAUGUUCGAUGCUGGAUUCUGUAUCACUCUUAUUCUAAGUGGCUCUUUGGCCAUAUCUCAAAACUUUUGUUUCCAGCUUACACUUUAGGUGCUAGUGGUCCAAGAAAAGAGUGGCUUGCUCUGUGGAAAAGGCAUUUGGAAGUUUCCUACUGGAGUUGUGAUGAGAUGUGCAUAUUAGUAUGGGUUUAGCAGACUGAGACGGAGUUUAUAGAAGUGCUAUCUUUCAGACAAAGCCACAGGUCAAUCUCAGAUUCCUGUGCCUGGAUGUCAAACAAGAGGGGUCGCAAUAUGCACAAAGAGAACAGAUCUGAGACCCCUCUCUUUCUCAUUCAGGCAUAGGAAUUUUAGAUAGAGGCAGCUGAGGUAAUUUUUGAUGCAAAACGGACAAUGAGAUAGAAACAAUUCCUUACUUUCGACUGAAGAAGAGAAGAAACGUUAACUCCAUAUUUUGGGAGACUUUUAACAUGUGAUGCUUCAUCUUGGCUUGUGUUACCUGCUGUGGAUGCCAUGUGAGGAAUAUGCAGCCCAACCAUUUGUGCAACAAGAUGACUGUGUUAAAAUACUUAUAUGAUGCAUGCUUAGCAAUGAAAGAAAAGGGUUACUCUGGGUUUUCUCCGGUGCCUACAACUUCAAGCUUCUUAGAGAUAGAAGUAUUACUGUCUACUUGUAUAUGAAUAGCCGGGACGGGACGUCAACAGGAAGUUUGGUGACCUUUGAAGCUCUUACUCUGGAAAGUGAUAUUUGAUUUGUUGUAUUUAAACUGAUAUCUCUUGUAUCAUUGAUUCUAAUUUCUGUACUUUUAUUAUCACAAGUUGAGAAGUUGAAUUUCUUUCUCUA
Molecule: long non-coding RNA, 2148 nt
Organism: Tripterygium wilfordii
Lineage: Eukaryota; Viridiplantae; Streptophyta; Magnoliopsida; Celastrales; Celastraceae
Exons: 4
Source: RefSeq, a predicted model, not a curated record